This 979-nucleotide ribosomal RNA is filed under the name uncultured bacterium. RNAcentral describes it as "bacterial SSU rRNA". It matches the Rfam family "Bacterial small subunit ribosomal RNA", at positions 28 to 1011 of the family's 1533-position model. The record is from RNAcentral.
GAUGAACGCUAGCGGCAGGCUUAACACAUGCAAGUCGAGGGGUAGGAGAAGCUUGCUUUUCUGAGACCGGCGCACGGGUGCGUAACGCGUAUGCAAUCUACCUUUCACAGAGGGAUAGCCCAGAGAAAUUUGGAUUAAUACCUCAUAGUAAUACGCCUUGGCAUCAAGAUGUAUUUAAAGAUUUAUCGGUGAAAGAUGAGCAUGCGUCCCAUUAGCUAGUUGGUAUGGUAACGGCAUACCAAGGCAACGAUGGGUAGGGGUCCUGAGAGGGAGAUCCCCCACACUGGUACUGAGACACGGACCAGACUCCUACGGGAGGCAGCAGUGAGGAAUAUUGGACAAUGGGCGCAAGCCUGAUCCAGCCAUGCCGCGUGCAGGAUGACGGUCCUAUGGAUUGUAAACUGCUUUUAUACAGGAAGAAACACCUCUACGUGUAGAGACUUGACGGUACUGUAAGAAUAAGGAUCGGCUAACUCCGUGCCAGCAGCCGCGGUAAUACGGAGGAUCCAAGCGUUAUCCGGAAUCAUUGGGUUUAAAGGGUCCGUAGGCGGUCAGAUAAGUCAGUGGUGAAAGCCCAUCGCUCAACGGUGGAACGGCCAUUGAUACUGUCUGACUUGAAUUAUUAGGAAGUAACUAGAAUAUGUAGUGUAGCGGUGAAAUGCUUAGAGAUUACAUGGAAUACCAAUUGCGAAGGCAGGUUACUACUAAUAUAUUGACGCUGAUGGACGAAAGCGUGGGUAGCGAACAGGAUUAGAUACCCUGGUAGUCCACGCCGUAAACGAUGGAUACUAGCUGUUGGGAGCAAUCUCAGUGGCUAAGCGAAAGUGAUAAGUAUCCCACCUGGGGAGUACGAACGCAAGUUUGAAACUCAAAGGAAUUGACGGGGGCCCGCACAAGCGGUGGAGCAUGUGGUUUAAUUCGAUGAUACGCGAGGAACCUUACCAAGGCUUAAAUGUAGAUUGACCGGUUGGAAACAGAC